AACGCACAUUGCGCCCUCUGGUAUUCCGGAGGGCAUGCCUGUUCGAGCGUCAUUUCAACCCUCAAGCCUGGCUUGGUGAUGGGGCACUGCCUUCUAGCGAGGGCAGGCCCCGAAAUCUAGUGGCGAGCUCGCCAGGACCCCGAGCGUAGUAGUUAAUACCCUCGCUCUGGAAGGCCCUGGCGGUGCACUGCCGUUAAACCCCCAACUUCUGAAAAUUUGACCUCGGAUCAGGUAGGAAUACCCGCUGAACUUAA
RNAcentral lists this unclassified non-coding RNA (254 nucleotides) under uncultured Phomopsis. Its description in RNAcentral is "partial contains 5.8S ribosomal RNA, internal transcribed spacer 2, and large subunit ribosomal RNA". The stretch from base 1 to 52 matches the Rfam family "5.8S ribosomal RNA", at positions 103 to 154 of the family's 154-position model. The record is from RNAcentral. Lineage: Eukaryota; Fungi; Ascomycota; Sordariomycetes; Diaporthales; Cytosporaceae.